GGGGAUGAUCGGUUUCGACGAUGUGAGUUGAGAUGGGUGAAGCGUGCCGAGGAUGCAGGGUUAUCUCGUUAACGCCCUCUGCAAAAAAUUAAGUGCAGAAUCUAAGCGCACUGACUUCGCACUCGCUGCCUAAGCGCGAGUUGCCGUCUGUCGGCCUGAGCAUGCCUUUGGCUCAGUUACCGGCAUCGACUUAAAAGGCCACUGCUGCUAGCCCUUGUUG
Molecule: transfer-messenger RNA, 220 nt
Filed under: Rothia sp. (in: high G+C Gram-positive bacteria)
Lineage: Bacteria; Bacillati; Actinomycetota; Actinomycetes; Micrococcales; Micrococcaceae
Description: Rothia sp. (human oral metagenome) partial transfer-messenger RNA
Rfam family: transfer-messenger RNA
About the family: Bacterial tmRNA, also known as 10Sa RNA or SsrA, is named for its dual tRNA and mRNA-like properties. Its role is to liberate the mRNA from a stalled ribosome.
Source: RNAcentral